RNAcentral lists this ribosomal RNA (437 nucleotides) under uncultured bacterium. Its description in RNAcentral is "bacterial SSU rRNA". It matches the Rfam family "Bacterial small subunit ribosomal RNA", at positions 28 to 478 of the family's 1533-position model. The record is from RNAcentral.
GACGAACGCUGGCGGCGCGCCUAACACAUGCAAGUCGAACGAGCGAGAGAGAGCUUGCUUUCUCGAGCGAGUGGCGAACGGGUGAGUAACGCGUGAGGAACCUGCCUCAAAGAGGGGGACAACAGUUGGAAACGACUGCUAAUACCACAUAAGCCCACGGGUCGGCAUCGACCAGAGGGAAAAGGAGCGAUCCGCUUUGAGAUGGCCUCGCGUCCGAUUAGCUAGUUGGUGAGGUAACGGCCCACCAAGGCAACGAUCGGUAGCCGGACUGAGAGGUUGAACGGCCACAUUGGGACUGAGACACGGCCCAGACUCCUACGGGAGGCAGCAGUGGGGAAUAUUGCACAAUGGGGGAAACCCUGAUGCAGCGACGCCGCGUGGAGGAAGAAGGUCUUCGGAUUGUAAACUCCUGUUGUUGGGGAAGAUAAUGACGGUAC